AUAGUAGCAAUACUAGAGACCGGCGCACGGGUGCGUAACGCGUAUGCAAUCUACCUUUCACAGAGGGAUAGCCCAGAGAAAUUUGGAUUAAUACCUCAUAGUAUAAUGAGUUGGCAUCAACCCAUUAUUAAAGUCACAACGGUGAAAGAUGAGCAUGCGUCCCAUUAGCUAGUUGGUAAGGUAACGGCUUACCAAGGCUACGAUGGGUAGGGGUC
This 215-nucleotide ribosomal RNA is filed under the name uncultured Bacteroidota bacterium. RNAcentral's name for it is "uncultured Bacteroidetes bacterium partial 16S ribosomal RNA". It matches the Rfam family "Bacterial small subunit ribosomal RNA", at positions 73 to 291 of the family's 1533-position model. Lineage: Bacteria; Pseudomonadati; Bacteroidota. The record is from RNAcentral.